This is a long non-coding RNA of Leopardus geoffroyi (Geoffroy's cat), 848 nucleotides long. RefSeq lists it as uncharacterized. The record is from RefSeq and is a predicted model, not a curated record. The transcript is spliced from 2 exons. NCBI's taxonomy places the organism in Eukaryota, Metazoa, Chordata, Mammalia, Carnivora, Felidae.
AAGAAACAGACAAAGACAAACACAGAAUAAGAGACCAGAUGAAUAAUGAAAGUAAGAGGAAUAUCAGCAGAAAGAAAUCCAGGCAGAUUUGAUUACAGUGGUAGGGGGCCACUGCUAACAUGGGUGCACCCCAAGGAAAUGUGGCAUUGGGAAUAUUUUCAAAUAAACAAUCCCAACGCUAAUUUUUGCAAAUGUGUGUGGUUGAUUACAUAUGUGUACAGUUCACCUGGGGACUUCAUAAAACAUUUCUACUGUAUAUGUUUACAUAUACUAUACGUAUCCAGUUUACCACACACAGUAGAAAUAUUUUACGGAGUUAAUCUUAACUUUAUUUGACUGAGUCUUCCUCAUUACAUAUUGCCAGAGGGUUACUGAACUCAACAUAUGGGAGUCUUAAAUCAUCCAGGAUCUCAGGUCUGAUACCUGUCGUUCAAUGACGAUAGAUAGAACAUCUCAGGAAAUUCUAUUUUGGCUGCCCUGCCUGACGGAGACUUUGGCACAACGGUGGUAUAAAAUUCCUGUCCUUUCUUAUGAAAACUAGGCCGUGGAAAUAGAUAUAAAAUCAAAGAGCACAAAGAAAUUGGCUUCUUUGUUCAAAUAUUUUCUAAAAAUAUGUAAGUACAAAUCAACUAAAAAAAAUCUAGCUUUAAGGAUACUGCUAUUUAUUUUUCCUUUUUACUAUAUAUAUUAGAAAACUGUCAAUUCUAUAAGGAUCAAAACAUUUUGGAGCAUAAGGCUGGCUAGGCCUUAAGCAAGGCCUAAAUUCGUGUCUACCUCUUGUCCCUUGGAAAUGUCAUAUUUGAUGAUAUGAAAAAUCUUAGGCCAAAUGGAUGCUACAAUGUGUACAA